Molecule: long non-coding RNA, 339 nt
Filed under: Rattus norvegicus (Norway rat)
Lineage: Eukaryota; Metazoa; Chordata; Mammalia; Rodentia; Muridae
Description: long non-coding RNA NONRATT022332
Source: RNAcentral
GUGGAUAUUAGCCCCAAAACUCGGAAUACCCAAAGUACAAUUCACAGACAAUAUGAAGCUCAAGAAGAAGAACAAUCAAAAUGGGGAUGCUUUUGUCCUUCUUAGAAAAGAAAACAAAAUAUUCACAAGAGGAAAUACAAUGAGAAAGAGUGGAGCAGAGCCUGAAGGAAAGGCCAUCCAAAGACUGCCCUACCAGGAGAUCCAUCCCAUAUGCAACCACCAAACCCAGUCACUAUAGCUGAUGGCAAGAAGAACUUGCUGACAGGAGCGCCUCAUAUGGAUGUUUCCUGAGAGGCUCUGCCAGAGCAUUACUGGAUACAGAUCAAGAUAUUUGCAGCU